CAUUAGAUAGUUAUAUACCUAUUAGCUUGCCUUCUAUCUGUUCAUCAUCUUCAACAGACACAUUUUUCAAACAACAAUAGAUCUGUUACCUAACAUACCUACUUAUCUACUGAUUUUUACAGAUAACACUCAGCCAAAUUACCGAAAAGGUAAUAAAAAGCGUUUACGUCUCUCGGCUCGAAGGAAAAAAUGUGGACCCACAAAACAAAAGAAUAAACAAGCGUUUUUAAAUGAAAACAAAGAAAACAUUGACAGUAAUGAUGUAUCACGGCUUAGUCUGGUGUUUGAAGGAAAUCGGAAUCAUCUUGACAACUAGUACAAAGGGUUUUAUUUAUAGUCCUAGAAUAAUAAAUAUCUUACACAAUUGUA
Molecule: long non-coding RNA, 369 nt
Organism: Colias croceus (clouded yellow)
Lineage: Eukaryota; Metazoa; Arthropoda; Insecta; Lepidoptera; Pieridae
Exons: 3
Source: RefSeq, a predicted model, not a curated record